UACAGAGGGUGCGAGCGUUAAUCGGAAUUACUGGGCGUAAAGCGUGCGUAGACGGUUAUCUAAGUCGGAUGUGAAAGCCCCGGGCUCAACCUGGGAAUUGCAUUCGAGACUGAAUAGCUAGGGUGCGGUAGAGGGAAGCGGAAUUUCCGGUGUAGCGGUGAAAUGCGUAGAUAUUCGCAAGAACACCAGUGGCGAAGGCGGCUCACUGGCCCGAUACUGACGCUGAGGCACGAAAGCGUGGGGAGCAAACAGG
RNAcentral lists this ribosomal RNA (253 nucleotides) under uncultured bacterium. RNAcentral's name for it is "partial 16S ribosomal RNA". It matches the Rfam family "Bacterial small subunit ribosomal RNA", at positions 524 to 776 of the family's 1533-position model. The record is from RNAcentral.